Molecule: ribosomal RNA, 607 nt
Filed under: Caenorhabditis elegans
Lineage: Eukaryota; Metazoa; Nematoda; Chromadorea; Rhabditida; Rhabditidae
Description: SSU rRNA
Rfam family: Eukaryotic small subunit ribosomal RNA
Source: RNAcentral
UAGAGCAGAUAUCACCUUAUCCGGGAUCCUCAUAUGGAUAACUGCGGAAAUACUGGAGCUAAUACAUGCAACUAUACCCCAACGCAAGGCGGGGUGCAAUUAUUAGAACAGACCAAACGUUUUCGGACGUUGUUUGUUGACUCUGAAUAAAGCAGUUUACUGUCAGUUUCGACUGACUCUAUCCGGAAAGGGUGUCUGCCCUUUCAACUAGAUGGUAGUUUAUUGGACUACCAUGGUUGUUACGGGUAACGGAGAAUAAGGGUUCGACUCCGGAGAGGGAGCCUUAGAAACGGCUACCACGUCCAAGGAAGGCAGCAGGCGCGAAACUUAUCCACUGUUGAGUAUGAGAUAGUGACUAAAAAUAUAAAGACUCAUCCUUUUGGAUGAGUUAUUUCAAUGAGUUGAAUACAAAUGAUUCUUCGAGUAGCAAGGAGAGGGCAAGUCUGGUGCCAGCAGCCGCGGUAAUUCCAGCUCUCCUAGUGUAUCUCGUUAUUGCUGCGGUUAAAAAGCUCGUAGUUGGAUCUAGGUUACGUGCCGCAGUUCGCAAUUUGCGUCAACUGUGGUCGUGACUUCUAAUUUGCUGGUUUGAGGUUGGGUUCGCCCUUCA